UCAAUUGUUACAUCACAAAAAGCUUUGACACUUAUAAAUUGUACACUUAUUAUCAUUUUUUUUUUCACUCAAAUUUCGACCGACAUUCCACCGCUCUUGAAUUAUUUUUAAAAUUAAUCUUUAAUGUAGAUCGAUUUUGAGCUGGGGGACGGUGAUUCGAAAUAUUAACAAGAAAUCCUCUCCACUAUGAAUCAAAAAAUUAAAUAAAGUUUUCAGAAUUACAACAAUGAAUAAAAGUUAUUAUAACAAUCCAAGAUUCAUACGGAUCUAACAAAGAAAUCAAAUUCAUACUGACAUUUAUUGUUUUAUUGUAAAGACAUAUAGAAAAAUACUAAAUUGGUUUAUGCAAUUGAAUGAAAAGUGAGCCGACGAAUAUUGUGGAGGCAAUUCAAAAACUUUCGGCAAUUACCAGUUCUUAGAAUGCACAGAUAAUUAUCAUCGUACUCCGGCGUUGAAUACGGCGUACGUCUCAUCAUGAGAAAACGUGGCAUCCAGAUCAAGAAUACUUGCCGCACCCAAGGAGACAUAUUAUGCGUCGACGGCGAGCUGCGUAUAAAUCAAGUUUUCAAUUAAGUGUGAUCCGUGGGAUUGCUAGCGACGUCGGUGGAAUGAUUUCAGCAAGCAACAAAAAGAAUACUGUCAACGACAGAAGAAUGGACGAGCACAAUGAAACCUGAAAUUAAGGCAGUAAAAUGUAUGAAAUUCUGUAAAAGUUUUUUUGUGGGAUAAUACUUUUGGGUAAUUAACACAAUAAUAGAUAUAAAUCAAGAAAUAAGUUUGGUAAACAA
Venturia canescens is the source of this 788-nucleotide long non-coding RNA. RefSeq lists it as uncharacterized. The transcript has 3 exons. Lineage: Eukaryota; Metazoa; Arthropoda; Insecta; Hymenoptera; Ichneumonidae. The record is from RefSeq and is a predicted model, not a curated record.